RNAcentral lists this transfer RNA (79 nucleotides) under Anguilla anguilla (European eel). RNAcentral's name for it is "tRNA-OTHER". Lineage: Eukaryota; Metazoa; Chordata; Actinopteri; Anguilliformes; Anguillidae. The record is from RNAcentral.
GGCAGUGUAGUAUAAUGGGUAAGGAGCUGGUCUUGUAACCUAAAGGUCUCAGGUUCGAUUCCUGAGUAGAACAUUGCUG